ACGAUAAGUCUACUUAACAUCCAUUACCACACAGUUACAAAUUUUUUUUCUUGUCAUGAAAACUUUUAAGAUCUACUCUCUUACCAACUUUCAAAUAUGCAAUACAGUAUUAUUAACUAUAGUCACCAUGCUGUACAGUACAUUCUCAUGACUCACUUAUUUUAUAGCUGGAAAUUUGUACCUUUUGACACACUUCACCCAUAUUGCCCACCCCCCACCCCCAGCCUCUGGCAACCACCAAUCUGUACUCUGUAUCUAUUAACUCAGUUGUUUUUAUUUUUUAGAUUCCAAAUAUAAGUGAGAUCAUAUGGUAUUUGUGUUUCUCUGACUUAUUUCACUUAGCAUAGUUCCCUCAAGGUCCAUCCAUGUUGUAGCAAAUGGCAAGAUGUCAUUCCUUUUUAUGGCUGAGUAGUAUUCCUUUACAUAUAUAUACAUCUUCUUUUUUUUUUUUUUUUUUUGGAGGAAGAGUAGCCCUGAGCUAAUUACUGCCAAUGCUCCUCUUUUUGCUGAGGAAGACUGGCCCUGAGCUAACAUCCAUGCCCAUCUUCCUCUACUUUAUAUGUGGGACGCCUACCACAGCAUGGCUUUUGCCAGGCAGUGCCCUGUCUGCACCCAGGAUCCAAAGCAGCGAACCACAGGCCGCCGAGAAGCAGAAUGUGUGAACUUAACCGCUGCACCACCAGGCCAGCCCACACAUCUUCUUUAUCCAUUCAUCCAUUCUUGGGCACUUAGGUUAUUCCCAUGUCUUGGCUGUUGUAAAUAAUGCUACAAUGAACAUGCAUGCUUAUAUCUUUUCAAAUUAUCAUUUUCGUUUUCUUCAGAUAAAUACCCAGAAGUGGAAAUGCUGGAUCAUAUGGUAGUUCUCCUUUUCACUUUUUGAGGAACCUCCAUACUGUUUUCCACAGUGGCUGAACCAAUUUAUGUUCCCAACAGUGCACAAGUGUUCCCUUUCUCCACAUCCUCACAAGCACUUCUUAUCUUUUUGAUAAUAAUAACGACUCUAACAGAUGUGAGGUGAUAUCUCAUUGUGGUUUUGAUUUGCAUUUCCCUGAUGAUUAGUGAUGUUGAGCACCUUUUCAUGUACCUGUUGGCCACCUGUAUGUCUUCUUUGGAAAAAUGUUUAUUCAGGUCUUCUGCCCAUUUUUUAAUUAGAUUGUUUGGUUUUUUGCUACUGAUUUGCAUAUAUUCUUUACAUAUUUUGGAUAUUAGCCCCUUAUCAGAUAUACAAUUUGCAAAUAUUUUCACCCAUUUGAUAGGUUGUCUUUUCAUUUUGUUGAUGUGCAGAAGCUUUUUAGUUUGAUGUAGCCCCACUUGUUUAUUUUUGCUUUUGUUGCCUUUGCCUUUGGUGUCAAAUCCAAAAGGUCAUUGCCAAGACCCAUGUCAAGGAACUUACUGCCUAUGUUUUCUUCUAGGAGCUUUAUGGUAUCAGGUCUUACAUUCAAGUCUUUAACCCAUUUUGAGUUAAUUUUUGUGCAUAGUGUAAUACAGGGGUCCAGUUUCAUUCUUUUGCCUGUGGCUGCUCACUUUUCCCAACAUCUUCCCAUUUAUUGAAGAGUCUGUCCUUUCCCCAUUGUAUAUUCUUAGCUCCUUUAUCAUAAAUUAAUUGACCAUAUAUGCAUGGGUUUAUUUCAGGGCUUUCUAUUCUGUCCCAUUGACCUAUGUGUCUGUUUUUAUGCCAAUACCAUACUAUAACUUUGUAAUACCCUUUGAAAUCAGGAAGUGUGAUGCCUCCAGCUUUGUUCUUCUCAAAAUUGCUUUGGCUAUUCAGGGUCUUUUGUGGUUUUAAAAAUUUUAGGAUUGUUUUUUCUAUUUCUGUGAAAAACGUCAUUGGAAUUUUGAUAGGGAUUGCAUUGAAUCUGUAGAUUGCUUUGGGUAGUAUGGAUAUUAUAACAUUAAUUCUUCCAACCCAUGAGCACAGAAUAUCUCUCCAUUUAUGUGUAUUUUCUUUAAUUUCUUUCAUUAAUGUCUUAUAAUUUUCAGUGUACUGGCCUUUCACAUCCUUAAUUAAAUUUCUUCCUAGGUAUUUUAUUCUUUUUGAUGCAAUUGUAAAUGGGAUUGUUUUCUUAAUUUCUCUUUCUGAUAGUUCAUUAGUAGUGUAUAGAAAUGCACCAGAUUUUUGUUUAUUGAUUUUGUAUCCUGCAACUUUACUGAAUUUGUUUAUUAGUUCUAACAGUUUUUUGGUGGAGUCUUAGGGUUUUCUAUAUACAAUAUCAUUUCAUCUUCAGAUAGUGACAGUUUUACUCCUUCCUUUCCAUUUUGAUGCCUUUUAUUUCUGUUUCUUGCCUAAUUGCUCUGGCUAGGACUUCCAGUGCUGUGCUGACUAAAGUGGCAGGAGUGGGCAUCCUUGUCUUGUUCCUGAUCUUAGAGGAAAGCUUUCAGCUUUUCACCAUUUAGUAUAAUGUUAGCUGUGGGUUUGUCAUAUAUGGCCUUUAUUAUGUCGAGUUAUGUUCCCUCUAUACUCACUUUAUUGAGAGUUUUUAUCCUAAAUGGAUGUUAAAUUUUGUCAAGUGCUUUUUCUGCAUCUAUCAAGAUGAUCAUAUGAUUUUUAUCCUUCAUUUUGCUAAUUUGGUGUAUCAUAUUGAUUGAUUUGUGGAUGUUGAACCAUCCUUACAUCCCUGGAAUAAAUCCCACUUGAUCAUGGUGUAUGAUCCUUUUAAUGUAUUGUUGUAUUUGACUUGCUAAUAUUUUAUUCAGGAUUUUUGCAUCUGUGUUCAUCAGGGAUAUUGGCCUGUAAUAUUCCUUUCUUGUGGUAUCCUUGUCUGGUUUUGGUAUCAGGGUAAUUCUACUCUCACAAAAUGAGUUCAAAAGUGUUCCCUCCUCUCCUAUUUUUUGGGAGAGUUUGAGAAGAAUUGGUACAUAUUCUUCUUUAAAUGUUUGGUAAAAUUCACCAGUGAAGCCACCUGGUCUUGGACUUUUGUUUGUUGGGAGGCUUUUGAUUAUUUUGAUUCAGUCGCCUUACUAGCAAUCAGUCUGUUCAAAUUUUCUAUUUCUUCAUGAUUCAGUCUUGGUAGGUUGUAUGUUCUAGGAAUUUAUCCAUUUCUUCUAGGUUGUCCAAUUUGUUGGCAUAUAAUUGUUCCUAGUAGUCUCAUGAUCCUUUGUGUUUCUGUGGUGUCAAUUGUAAUGUCUCCUCUUUAGUUUCUGAUUUUAUUUAUUUGAGUAUCUCUCUCUCUUUUUUGUUGGUGAGUCUAACUGAAGGUUUGUCAAUUUGUUUAUCUUUUCAAAGAAAUAGAUCUUAGUUUCAUUGAUCUCUUCCAUUGUCUUUUUAGCCUCAGUUUCAUGUAUUGCCACCCUGAUGUUUGUUAUUUCCUUCCUUCUACUAACUUUGGGCUUCAUUUGUUCUUCUUUUUCUAGUUCCUUCAGGUGUAAAGUUAGGUUGUUUGCUUGAGGUUUUUCUUGUUUCUUGAUGUAUGCAUUUAUCACCAUGAAUUUCCCUCUUAGAACUGCUUUUGCUGCAUCCCAUAAGUUUUGAUAUGUUGUAUUGCCAUUUUCAUUUGUCUCAAUGUACUUUUUAAUUUUUCUUUUGAUUUCUUCUAUGACCCAUUGGUUGUUCAGUAGCAUGUUGUUUAAUCUCCACAUAUUUCUGAAUUUUCCAGUUUUCUUCUUGUAAUUGAUUUCUAGUUUCAUACCAUUGCGGUCAGAAAAGAUGCUUGAUAUGAUUUCAAUCUUCUUAAAUUUAUUAACACUUGUUUUGUGACCUAAUGUACAAUCUAUCCUGGAGAAUGUUCCACAUGCACUUGAGAGGAAUGUGUAUUCUGUUGCUUUUGGAUGGAAUGUUCUGUAAAUAUCUGUUAAGUUCAUCUGGUCUAACAUGUCAUUUAAGGCUGAUGUUUCCGUAUUGAUUUUCUGUCUGGAUGAUCUGUCCAUUGAUGUAAGUAGGGUAUUCAAGUCCCCUAAUAUUAUUGUAUUGCUGUCUAUUUCUCCAGUUAGGUCUGUUAAUAUUUGCUUUAUAUAUUUAGGUGCUCCUAUGUUGGGUGAACAAAUAUUUAUAAAUGUUAUAUCCUCUUGUUGGAUUGACCCCUUUAUCAUUAUGUAAUGUCCUUCUUUGUCUAUUAUUGUAGUCUUUGUUUUAAAGUUGAAAUUGUCUGAUAUAAGUAUAGCUACUCCUGCUUUUUUUUUUUUUUUUUUUUUUUGGUUUCCAUUUACAUAGAAUAUCUUUUUCCAUUCUUUCACUUUCAGUCUGUGUGUGUUCUUACAUCUAAAGUCAGUCUCUUGUAGGCAACAUGUAGAUGGGUCUCGUUUUUUAUCCAUUCACCACUCUGUGUCUUUUGAUUGGAAAAUUUAGCCCAUUUACAUAUAAAGUAAUUGGAGGGGGGGUGAGGAAGAUUGGCCCUGAGCUAACAUCUGUGCCACUCUUCCUCUAUUUUAUGUGGGAUGCCACCACAGCAUGGCUUGAUGAGCAGUGCCAAGUCUGCACCUGGGAUCUGAACGUGCAAACCCUGGGCCACUGAAGCAGAAAGUGUGAACUUAACCACAACACCACCAGGCCAGGCCCUAAAGUAAUGAUUAAUAAUUGUGGCGUGUGGGAUGCUGCCUCAGCGUGGUUUGAUGAGCAGUGCCAUGUCUGCGCCCAGGAUUUGAACUGACGAAACACUGGGCAGCCUGCAGCGGAGCACGCAAACUUAACCACUCAGCCAUGGGGCCGGCCCUGAGUUAGGGUUAGUAACAGUCUAUUUUAAGUUGAUAACAACGUAAGUUUGAAUGCAUGCUAAAGCUCUACACUGUUACUCUCUACCCCCACAUUUUAUGUUUUUGAUGUCACACUUUACAUCUUUUUAUCUUGUGUAUCCCUUAACUAAUUAUUGUAAUCAUAGUUAUUUUUACUACAUUUGUCUUUUAACCUUCAUACUAGCUUUAUAAGUGACUAGUCCACUAUCUUUACUAUAUAUUUACCUUUACUAGUGAAAUUUAUUCUUUCACAUGUGCUCUUGCUACUAAUUAGCACCUUUUCUUUUCAACUUAAAGAAGUCCCUUUAACAUUUCUUAUAAGGCCAGUUUAGUGGGGAUGAGCUCCUUUAGUUUUUGCUUGUCUGGAAAACUAUUUCUCUCUCCUUCAGUUCUGAGUGAAAACAUUGUCAGGUAGGGUAUUCUUGGUUGGAAGUGUUUUUCUUUCAGUUCUUUGAAUAGAUCAUGCCACUCCCCUCUGGCCUGCAGAGUUCCUGCUGAAUAAUCUGCUGAUAGGGGCUGGCCCCGUGGCCAAGUGGUUAAGUUAGCAGACUCUGCUUCAGUGGCCCAGACUUUUGCCAGUUUGGAUCCUGGGCGUGGACAUGGCACCACUCAUCAAGUAAUGGUGAGGCAUCAUCCCACAUAGCACAACCAGAGGCACUUACAACUAGAAUAUACAGCUAUGUACUGGGGGGCAGCUUUGAGGAGAAGAAGAAGAAAGGAAAAAAACAGAAGUUUAGCAACAGAUGUUAGCUCAGGUGCCAAUCUUAAAAAAAAACCUGCUGAUAGUCUUACGGGGGUUCACUUGUACAUAACAAGUUGUUCUCUUGCUGCUUUUAAGGUUUUCUUGUCUUUUUUUCUUUUUUUGAGGAAGAUUAGCCCUGAGCUAACAUCUGCUGCCAAUCCUCCUCUUUUUGCUGAGGAAGACUGGCCCUGAGCUAACAUCCAUGCCCGUCUUCCUCUACUUUAUACGUGGGACACCUGCCACAGCAUGGCUUGCUGAGUGGUGCCACGUCCACACCCGGAAUCCGAACCAGUGAACCCUGGGCCACCAAAGCAGAACAUGCCCACUUAACCACUGCGCCACCAGGCUGGCCCCUUGUCUUUAAUUUUUGACUCUUUAAUUAUAAUUGUCUUGGUGUGGGUCUUUUUGGGUUCAUCUUUUGAAACUCUCUGGGCUCCCUAGAUCUGGAUGUCUAUUUCCUUCCCCAGAUUAGGGAAGUUUUCAGCCAUUAUUUCUUCAAAUAAGUUUUCUGCCCCUUUCUCUCUCUCUUCUCCUUCUGGGACUCCUAUAAUGCAAGUGUUAGUCUGUUUGAUGUUGUCCCAUAAGUCCCUGAAGCUGGCUUCACUUUUUUUCAUUCUUUUUUCCUUUUGGUGCUCUGAUUGGGUGAGUUCCGCUGCCUUGUCUUCGAUUUCACUGGUCCUUUCUCCUGCUUCGCCUAGUCUGCUAUUGAGCCCCUCCCACGUACUCUUCAGUUCAGUUAUUGUAUUCUUCACCUCUGUGACUUCUAUUCUUACUUUCUUAUACUUUCUGUCUCUUUGUUGAAGUUCUCACUGUGUUCAUCCAUUCCUCUCACCAAGUCUUUUUAUACUCUAAUCUCAGAAGUGAAGAUCCAUCAUUUCUGCCAUUAACAGAGCAUGGGCACCAUGAGGGGCUCACUAGGGGCUUUCACAGGCUCUCAUCUUCUUUCAUGCUCUACUCUAAGCACUGCCUCUGAGCUGCUCCCAACAGCUAUACUUGCUGGGCACUUAGGAGUUGAGAAUGAAUGAACACCCCACAUCUGUGCACAUCUGCUAACAUAUGUUCAUCUCCUUCCUCUAGAUUGUUCCCCCCACUCCCACCCCACCUAAAGGUCAUCAAUUCAACUUCAAGGUGCAGAUGACACCCCAUCCCAAAGACCCCAGGGCCCCUGGCACUGGAAGUGGUCCAGAGGCUGAUACUCUUUGGACACCAGCUCAGCUCCUCACUAGGCCCUACAUUAAGUUUAUGCUAAUUUAUGUAAAUGCAUACUAUUGAGGAAGAUAACUCAUAAAGGUUGAACUUUUAGCUGGAAAAACAUUUCUAAAAUGCCAAAGACAAGAUUGAAUGCUGGGCUUGUGCAGGGGGACUUGAGAGACAGCUGGAGCUGGAGGUCCAGGGAGAGGGAUGUCCCAACCUUUCUCCUCUGCUGUCAAGGAAAGAGCUGGCACCAGAGGGGGCACCAGCAAGCUGCAGACAGUGUCGCCAGUGACCAGGCCCAAGAAAGAGCAUGGAUCUGGGCUGUAGCAACACAGAAUUCAGCCCAAGUAAGGGGUCUCUCAACAAGACAGAUGUGGCUCUGGGUUAGACAGCCACAGCCUGCAUUCCCUCUGUCACUGCAAUGUCACCCAAGCAGUAAGAAUAACUGAGCCACACAAAGCCACCGGGGCUCACAGGUGAGUAUUAUGCCAGCCACACAGGACUGUGUGAGUCCCACUGAACUCUGGCCUUACGGUUUUGUGAUUUGAAGCAAGGCCUUCGCCCCUCUGAGCCUCAUCUGCCGUGUGGCAGGCUCUCCUAAGGCUCCCGGUGAAGCACUGGGAAGAGCAGCAGGAGACUGGUAGGGCCUGCACCAUGUCACUUCCUCUCUGAACCCAGAUUCUCUGCUCUAGAGUCAGGGCCUUGAGAAUAAGAGUAUGGAGAUCCCUUCCCACCCUCAAAUCUGUGAGGUCCAAAGAGGCCCCUGCUCCCAGGAGUUAGGUGAGGCACCAGGGCCACCUGAUACCCCUUCCCAUCACGCGCCUUGUGUCAAAGAAAUGUGGAGAGUCAAGUCCCUUUCUUCUGCUCACCCCCUUAAGAGAAUCCCUGGGGCUUGGGGUACUGGGCCCAUGUGGCCGCCUGUACCUGGGUCUUCCCUCCUCCAUUACCUGGAUGACGGAGCUGCUGUGCCCUCCUGCCCCCUUUGCAUCCCUGUCCUGUCCCUAGCUGCCGCGGGAUCAGCACGCCUUCACCGCUGUCCCGGCGGGAGCUCGGCCGGUCCUCCGCAGGGGCGCCGCGCCGCCACCAGGAGGCGCUGCGCCUCCUAGAAACUCCGGACUUUGCAGACGGGGGGCGGCGCCGCCAGAACAGGGGCGUGUGAACGGAAAGCCUACGCAGAAAAGUCAUCUGCAUGGCAGUGGCCCAAAGCAGUCUUCUCCUGGACGCCGAAUUCACGGAGAGAGCCUCCUGCUCCGGGAAUGACGUACUGCUAGAAAGUUGGUUCUGACGUCGGCCCAACUCCCCGCUUCCGCGUGGCCGCGGGCGGGACUCUUGCCCGGUGCAGGCGUGGCCUUUGGGCUCGUGGGGACCAGCCUAGUUCCCAAGACUGAGUCUCGUGGGGACAGCAGGGAAUUAAAUAGGGCAGGAGGGGCUUUGGAAUCAGCCAAUUCUCUCCCCACAAGAAGCUGCACGUCCCUGAGCAAGUCACCCAGCCUCUCAGAGGCUAUUUGGCCCUGGAGACGAUAGUGCCUCCCGGAAGGGGUGUUGGAACCCUCAGAGCAGUGUGUGCAGUUGCCGCCCCCUCCAGGCGGUUUGACCCUCUCACCCCCCAUCCCCCCGCUGGUAAAUGCAGCCUUUUGAAACCACUGUUCAACUGAGAAAAAGAGUACAUAAAAUAAACUAUAGCCAACCACUAGAAUGGCUAUGAUAAACAUAUAUAUAAAAACUAAAAAAGCAAGUGUUGGUGAGAAUGUGCAGAAGUUAGAACCCUUGCACACUGCUGGGAGGAAUGUAAAAUGGUGCAGCCGCUGAGGAAAGCAGGGUAGUCCUUUCUGCGAAAGUUAAACACAGAAUGGCCAUAUGAUCCAGCACUUCCACUUCUAGGCGUGUACCCCAAAGAAUCGAAAACUCAUAUCAAUAUGCAUGCACACACAUGUUCACUGAAGCACUACAUGCAAUCGUCAAAAAGUGGAAACAGCCUAAACAUCCAUCAACUGAUGAAUGGAUAAACAAAUGAGCAUAUCCACACAAUGGAAUAUUUUGUUGGUGGUGGUGCUGUUGAGUCCGUUCUGACUCAUAGUGACCCAGUGGACAGCAGAGGGAACCCUGCCUCAUCUUUUUGUGCCAUCCUCACCUUCCAGCACUAUAUCACACAAUGCGCUGCUGCUAUUCAUAGGGUUUUCAUGGCCAAUUUUUCAGAAGUGGGUGGCCAGGUCCUUCUUCCUGGACUAUCCAAGUCUGGAAGCUCCACUGAAACCUGUCCGCCACAGGUGACCCUGCUGGUAUUUGAAAUCCUGGUGGCAGAGCUUUCAGCAUCACAGCAACACACAGCCACCACAGUAUGACAAUCAAUAGACAGGUGGUAUGGUUCCCUGAGUGGGAAAAUGAACCCAGGCCGCAGUGGUGAGAGCGCCAAUCUUAACCACUAGAACAUCAGGGCUGGCUAAUGGAAUAUUAUUCAACCAUAAAAGAAAUGAAGCACUGACACAUGCUACAACAUGGAUAAAUCUUGAAAACAACAUGCUGCAUGAAAGAAGUUAGACACAAAAAGUCACAUAUUGUAUGAAUACCCAGAAAAGGCAAAUCCACAGAGACAGAAAGCAGAUGAAUGAUUGCAGGGGUUGGAGGGGGAGGGUAACAGAAUGGGUGCUUAAUGGGUCCACGGGUUCCUUUUUGGAUGAUGAAGAUGGGAACUAAACAAUAAUAUUGGUUGCACAGUACAAAUGCGCUAAACGCCACUGAAGUGUUCCCUUUAACACAGUUAAUUUUACAUUUGUGAAUGUCACCUCGAUAAAAUAAAUAAAUGAGCCAAGCCAGCCUCAUGUGCCCAAUGCACUUGGUCAUCCAGCUGUGCCUGGACUAAUGGGAGCCCAGCUGUCCCCUGGGACACUAGCCCUACAGUCUGCUGCUCUUAGAUCUGGCACCCACAGGCCCCCUCUAUGUCCCUGAUGGCACCUUCCUCUCCACCUCACCUGCCCUCACCCAGGCCCUCCACCCUCCACCUGCUUCAUGUCUUCUGUCUCCCUUGCUUCAUCCACCCCACUUCCAGAACCCACACCCCAAUUUCAGUUGCCUAGCAGCUGCCUCUAGGCCUGCCCUUCCUCCUCCCUCACCAGCCCUGACCUGGCCUUGAAGACCCCCACCUUUCAGGCCCUCCCGCCCACAGCCUGAUGCUGGGGGUCCCUCCUCCUGUCUAAGCUGAUUUUGCCCCUGUGGCGAACUCCUCCUGGGUCUUCAACUCCUGCCUCUAAGGCAGAUCCUUGGCUCUUUAACACUUGGUCUCCCUGAUUACAGGCAGAAGGGUCAGUUUUCCAUGACUCUAAUUUCCCUCUCCUCUUGGUCUUCUCUCUGAUGCAGCUGGUCAAGCCUCUAGGGAGAGUAGUUCACACAUGUUUCUCCAGUCACUCUGUGUCCUGCCACAUCCCAAACCUCACCAGCCCCACCAUGUCUUCACAGUGGCAACUCCAAGGAGCACAUUGCUGUACUGUCUUCUUGGAAUUGACAACUCCCCUCCUCGUUAACUUCACUCUUGCCCCUUCACAGCUCUCUUGGCUUCCUCUGAGCCCUCCUUCUCCCACUCCUUAAAUGAGAAGGAGUGUUCUCAGAGUUGUCUUGGACCCCUCCUCUUUGCGGUCUACCCCUGAGGGGUGCCCACAAAUAGUUGCCUUGUAUUUAUCAGGAUGGGCAGACUUUUGGGGACACAUAACCCAGAAUCUGAGGCUCACCUCACCAUCACUGAGGUCCUUCCUGGUUCAGCCAAGUUGUAUAAGGAUCCCCUAGGCAGCUCUCUAAGCUGUGACCUGGGAGAGCCACUUCAUCCCCUCGCCUCCAUCUGUGGCCUCCAGGAUCAUGAUCAAAGGAGAGACUAUUAGGUCCAGCCAUUCCUCACCUAAAACAGUGGCCAGAAAGACGUGGGGCCAGCCUGGCUCCCUGCAGCACACUUCUCUAUGGGAGCGGAGGCAGACUUUUAGGGUCAGCUGGCCUCUGUGCCACAACCUGCAUGCGGCAUCUAUGCUCAGAUCUCUCCUCUUAUCUACAGACAGAUGGCCCAGUGCCUCCUGAGUCUGCAGCCAUCUCCCUGUUAAACACACUCAUUCUACAGUUUUUGUGCCCAGACACCCAGCCUGAAGUCUUGGGGAGCACAGGUUACGUGUGUCACCAUGUAAAGAAGCCGGGCCCACAGAAACAACUCCAGGGAGCCCCACUUUGUGGCAACUCAUCUUCCCCAUCCUAGAUGAAAUCUAAGGUAAGUCCCAAGACUUUUCUGCCGUUCUUCAGUAAUUGAAGUCUUCUGUUCCUCAAAGUCAUUUUUAAGAGUCUCAUUUCAGUUGGAAUGCCCAAUGCUGUGUAAGCAUUCAAGCUGGCCUCUUGCAGUGGGCAGAAGGGACUUGGUUCACUGUGCAAUUCCUCAGCUCUGGGAGGAUCAAGGAGGAGAGGUAAGGGGCGAAGGUCUCCCCUGAUUACAGCUUCAGGAAUCCAUAUUCUCUGGGCUCAGUGAGUGUUUGGAGCUGCCCCUUCCUCUCAUGGGACCCACAGACACACCCACUCCCACCACUAGGUAUUCACUGCCUGCAGACCCUCCUCAUGAGCCCUGGGAAUCUUGUGAUCUGCCUACCCAUGGGCCGCAUCCCCUCUCACACAGUCUGCUGGGAGAACCAAGAAGCUCCCAGGCCAGCUCUCUUUCCUGGGUGGUGAGAAAUCCUACACAUACCCUCCAUCCUGACCAGCAACCAGCCAUGGGAGUGCAGCCAUCCCCAGGGUGGAGACCACCCACGGUCCCCGCAUCUCCAGCCCACCAAGCUCGUUUAGCCUCAGAACUUCCCAGAGCCUCUCCUUCCACCUGAAGAGGGCUCCCUGUGGCUAAGUCUCAGCUCACUGUCAACAUUCAGGGCACUCUCAGUCAAAAACCAUCUCAGAGGCACUUACCCUGUUACAAUGACUCUGUCUUCACUCUCCAUGUAGGACUGUCCCGUAUUUCUCUUAUUUAUUCAUCAGUCUAUUUGUUCAUUAUUUGCCCCACUCCCCAGUGGAAUACAAGCUCCAAGCAGCAGGGACUUCCCAGUACCUAGCAGAGCCCUACAUACAACAGGAGCUCAGUAAAACCUGGUCAUCAGCAUAUGGGCUGCUAAAGCUACAUGGCAGUAGGUGUAGAGGAAAAGGAGGGUCAGAGGGGGUGCAGAAGAGAGUAGGGGACCCAACACUGAUG
This 11804-nucleotide long non-coding RNA is filed under the name Equus caballus (horse). RNAcentral's name for it is "lncRNA (ENSECAG00000045436.1)". The record is from RNAcentral. Lineage: Eukaryota; Metazoa; Chordata; Mammalia; Perissodactyla; Equidae.